AUGGUUUCAGGAUGAUUGAAGCACAUUACAUUUAUUGUGCACUUUAUUUCUAUUAUUAUGGCAUUGUAAUAUAUAAUGAAAUAAUUAGACACCUCACCAUAAUGUAGAAUCAGUGGGAGUCCUGAGCUUGUUUUCCUGCAACUAGAUGGUCCCCCGUCUAGGGGUGAUGGGAGACAGUGACAGAUCAUCAGGCAUUAGAUGCUCAUAAGGAGCAUACAACCUAGGCCCCUUGCAUGCACAGUUCACAAUAGUGUUCUCACUCCUAUGAGAAUCUAAUGCUGCCACUGACCUGAUAGCGGGCAGAUUUCAGGUGGUAAUGCAAGCAGUGAGAAGCAGCUGUAAACACAGAUGAAGCUUCUCUGGCUCACCCGUCGCUCACCUCCCGCUGUGCAGCCCAGUUUGUAACAGGCCAUGGACCCGUACCAGUCCGUGGCCUGGGGGUUGGAGACCCCUGUAGUAGAAGAGUUCAUAGAUGAUCUUGAGAGAGAAACUCUAGUGUGGCAGGAGAAGUUGAGCCAGGUUGGAGUGGAUGCUGGAUGGUGGAGUGGGUGGGGUGUGUGCGGGUAGAGACUGCAAAUACAGAAAAUGCCAUCGAGAAGUUCCAUUUGGAAGGGGAGGAGAGAAAAACUGUGGGACCUAGUGAAGGAUGUAGGAGAAAGUUGUUAUCAUUGUUUUAGCAAUAGGAGAAUUGUGUGCAUGUUUUUGGUGCUAAUGGAAAGGACCCGAGAUAAAAUAAUUGAGGGAAGAGAUGGGAGCCAGGGCACGAUAGAGCCUUCAUUAAGAGGGAUGCCCUUUCUAAGAGGAGGAAAAAUGGAUGCAAGCAUAGUUGUCAUGGUUUUGAUAGAGAACCUCAUGUGGCUGUCCAUCAAACAUCACUUGAGUCAUAGGUGUCUAGAACACUAUUUUGCACCUUAGAAAUAUUUGAAUAGACACCUUAGAAAUCUUUGCUGAGUAAGACAGAUUCCUCGCAUAGCUGCAAGAAGCUUAGCCAAACCCAUUUCUAAAUUAAAACUACCAGCAAAGAGGUACUUGAGUAAUAGGCACAGGGUGCUCAGCUCUGGGCUAAUAGCAUUGAAUGUCCUGAUUUUUAGAAUGUUCUGUGCUUAACUUCUCAGGCAACACAGGCUGAAGUAUAAGAGUUGAAGGGAUUUAGAAUAAGUCAUUGUUUCAUUAAAAAUUAUUUUUGGCUGAAGGAGAAAUAAGAUUUGGAUGGGGACACAGCUAAAUCAUAUCAUAUACCAUCUUAAUUGGGGAUGGUAUUUUUUUUUUU
Molecule: long non-coding RNA, 1270 nt
Filed under: Homo sapiens (human)
Lineage: Eukaryota; Metazoa; Chordata; Mammalia; Primates; Hominidae
Description: HSALNT0280815
Source: RNAcentral